GACGAACGCUGGCGGCGUGCUUAACACAUGCAAGUCGAACGGAAAGGCCCUGCUUUUGUGGGGUGCUCGAGUGGCGAACGGGUGAGUAACACGUGAGUAACCUGCCCUUGACUUUGGGAUAACUUCAGGAAACUGGGGCUAAUACCGGAUAGGAGCUCCUGCUGCAUGGUGGGGGUUGGAAAGGUUCGGCGGUUGGGGAUGGACUCGCGGCUUAUCAGCUUGUUGGUGGGGUAGUGGCUUACCAAGGCUUUGACGGGUAGCCGGCCUGAGAGGGUGUCCGGCGACAUUGGGACUGAGAUACGGCGCAGACUCCUACGGGAGGCAGCAGUGGGGAAUAUUGCACAAUGGGCGGAAGCCUGAUGCAGCAACGCCGCGUGCGGGAUGACGGCCUUCGGGUUGUAAACCGCUUUCGCCUGUGACGAAGCGUGAGUGACGGUAAUGGGUAAAGAAGCACCGGCUAACUACGUG
RNAcentral lists this ribosomal RNA (468 nucleotides) under uncultured bacterium. Its description in RNAcentral is "partial 16S ribosomal RNA". It matches the Rfam family "Bacterial small subunit ribosomal RNA", at positions 28 to 507 of the family's 1533-position model. The record is from RNAcentral.